This is a non-coding RNA of Vicugna pacos (alpaca), 2801 nucleotides long. The record is from RefSeq and is a predicted model, not a curated record. NCBI's taxonomy places the organism in Eukaryota, Metazoa, Chordata, Mammalia, Artiodactyla, Camelidae.
UGCCCACCCCCAGACUGCAUUACCCUUCGGUCUCCUCGUCUGUCCAGUGGGAGGGUGAGCGGACUCCUACCUCCUGGAGCCCUAGUGAGCAAGUCAGAUAACACCUGUGGAAGCUCUCUGAGUCCUGAUAAAUGUUAUUCCUUCCUCGACUUCCCUGGCUUUAGUGGAGGGCGGGGACCCCAGAGAGAUUAGUCCGGGCACUGGAAGACGGCUCUCCUAGGUCCGAAUGCUGCCCUGUCUUGGUCAGCCCCUCCAGGACUAUCUGUCUUUUGAGGACCUAUCCAUAGACGUGUUAAUGACAGAUUAUUAGGGGAACAAUGAUAUGGAAUGAUGGCAGCAGUAGACCUCUUUGCAUCCACACCCUGUCCCGCGCUGGAGACCCUAAGGACACACAGGAGGUCCAGUGUGGAGGGGAGGGGCGCCUUCCCCCGAGCACCCAAGAAAGGAGCUAUCAGUUCCCACCCACAGCUCUUCAGCCCAUGUGCUACAGGAGAUGCCCGCACACGUGCACAUGUGGGCCUGCCACCUCCCUAACUCCCAGAGGCUCCCCCCACCACCACCCUGGGAGACAGAGUGGUCAGGCCCUGGGAGGGGAGGCCCCCAGACAGACAACUCCUGAGGCCCAGAGAGCGGCAGUGGAGGGAGCUCCAGGUGCCCACAGCCCUGCCUUAGGGACCCCCACCCAGGUCUAGCCUGUCUGCCAGCCAAGCCCUCCCGUGGCUCCUCUCUCCGGCCCUACCCACAUCCCCUGUAGGGAGUCUCCUGAGCGCACCAGCCUCGCACAGUCCUGCAUGAUCCAAAGUUCUACGGAGGAACCAGGGCUCCAGACCAGCUCUACCCCUGACUCGGUUUUCUCUCACAUUUCCUCCUCCUCUGGGCCUGGGGCACUUCAGUGACCUCUCCCAUCCCUGGAGAAUUCACAGAUGCAAACAAGGAGAUCAGAGAGGUUCAGCAGCCUAGAUGGGGUCACACAGCUUUGUAAAUGUUGAGGCUGGCCAGGCGGGCCUGGGAACUUCUGAUGACACCGCACACCUCUCUGUGGACAUCUGAGUACACAGGGCCCCUUUUAGACAUGAACCAGCUGCCCACACCGUCCUCUUCAGGUUACUGGCUGGACCGGCGCCAGGCUUUCGGACACAGGAAAAUGGGCCAAAAGAAGACAGAAACACGGGGUAGCAAGAGGGUAAAGAGGAGGCCAGGGAGGAAGUUCAGCCGGACGCACUCCAUUGCUGGAAGGUCAUUACCAGCUAAACAUCUGGUUGCCAGCACCACAUCUCCCAGGUAUCCUGAGUAGGUCUUUGGACCCUGGAGUUCUGUCCUCCAGUCUCAUGACCCCCUGGGAUGAGGGGCGUGGCUCAUUUUAAGUCUUUCCCAGAACUGGUGUCUGCCUGGUGGCUCCCUCUGGGAGAGGCUCAGACCUGAGUUGGAUUACGUGAGCCUCACAAGGAUCCAGAGGGACGGGGCGAGUGCUGGCGCUCCUACCCUGCAGGACAGCCGUGCACCACCCCUGGGUACAGGGCCCAUGGGAACAGAGUUCUCGCUUAGCCCCUGGGGCCUUGGCUGGAGCAGUGCUGGGUCCCAGAGACACUCACUCAGUUCUUAAGGACUUGCUGACUCCGCACAGAACUGCUGGACAGAACAUCCCCUGGCCGCAGCCCAGGGCUGGCUCCUCCUUCUGCCCCCUGCCUCCUCCCCCCCCCCACGGGAGGCUGAUCUGCACCGCUUGUCCAUCCGUCUGAGUCUAGCUGGAAUGGGUGAGACUACAAAACAGCUCCAGGGAUCAGUGCUCUGGAGAUGCUCUGAGUAGACCGUGGUGGGGAGGAGGGUGCCCCGGUCCAUUCUGCAUGGCUGCCCAGGACAGGGCGGAAAGGAGGGUGGGAUGGAGGCACCAGAAGUAAAAUCUCUCCUAUUUUCUACAGUAUUUACUUAAUCUUAUGAUAAACACUCUUCAGUGAUCAUUCAUCGUGAGGCUCAAGCCGUAGAAAAAGCGCUGAAGACCAUUUUAUUUACCAAGAGACUGUGUACUGGCACUGUGCCAGCUGGACACGGCAGAGCACUGUUCGCAGCGCACCACAGCCCGUCAGUAUCUGCCUGGGGCCUGCCCUGGCUUCCUGGCCUGGAUCCCCAGGCCACUCUCCUCACCAUCCCUCCAGCGAGGCCGCGUGCUGCUCCCUCGGGGCUCCCCCCCACCCCGAGACUGCCUGCCCCGCCAUCUCCUGCUCCACCUCCUCACUCCACUCAGCGCUUUGUUCAGGUCGUUGACUGCCCUGUUUAAACCUGCCCCCAAUGCACACACACUGUAUCCCCUCCCUCCUGACUUCCUGCACCACACACAUCGCCAUCGAAAAGUCUUGAUUUUCUCCUUAUUUCUCGUCUGACUCCUCUACUAGAAUGCAGGCUCUGCGCCGGCAGGCAGUUUUAGCUGUUUCUUUUACCCCUGUGUUUCCAGCACCUAGACUGUUGCCUGGCACAGUCAGUCGAGCCUCCGUAAAUAAUUGUUGAGUGAGUGGAUGAAAUGGUAAUGCAACUGACAAAAACUGGGAGGUGAAAAAGGGUCACACGAGAGGUUCCCAUUCUUUCAUUGUCAAGAGUCAGCAGAGGCGAUGGAGAGUAAAUUAACGAGUGAAGAGAGGUCCAGGCGUGUCGUUUGCCGUGAUAAUGGGGGGUCGGGAAGAAGCUCGGUGCUUAGCGCACGAGGGGCUGGCUUCAAGCCCCAGGACCUCCAUUAGAAAAAUAAAUAAACCUAAUUACCUCCCCCAAAACAAAAACAACUAAUAAAAUUAAAUUUAAAAAAUAAAAAA